CGACUUCUGCUGCCGUUGAGGAACUGAAGAAGAGCGUCUCCCGAUUGAAGUUACCCAAGGAGCAUUCCCCGCGGGUUUAGAAAAUCAUUCACCAGCUAACUCUUUAUCGAGUGCCAACCGAAAACAACUAACAUGGCGGACAAGAUCAAAGCAUUUUUCCAGAAAAAGAAAUCCGAUGCCAAAUUUAAGAUGGCUGGAAAGGGGUACAAAUUAACCGAAUCGACGAGUUCAUCAAAAUCGAACUCUAACGAAACAGUGAAGCCAGUGACGCGGGCGGAACCAACCACAGAAGCUAAAAUUGCAGGACAAGCUGCCCUGGCGAGGCUCGAGUCGAAGAGGCCAGACCCGACAAAGUUCAACACAUCGUACGCGGCUAUCCAGGCACAAGUCAAACGAGAACUGGAGGCGGAGAGAAAAGCGGCGAGUAAUGAGGCAAAGGAAAUCGCGCUGCCAAAGGAGCAGAAAAUCCCACAGGAGGUCGAGGCAAACCCGCUGCUCGCUGUACGCGGGGUUUAUUUUCGCUGUCCGAUUAUUUCUGACGAAAUAUUAACCAGGGACGAGUGGAAGAGCAAGAUUCGACAGUUCCUUUACGAGCAGCUCAAUUACGAGGAGCCCGGACUCACCGCCUGCCUCAUCAUUCAUAGUUGUAAUGCCGGGAAAGAAAAGGUUGAACAGUGUGUCGAAACCAUGUGCAAGUACCUUGAAAAUAUCAUCAAUAAUCCGGGGGAGGAGAAAUACUGGAAAAUACGAAUGUCCAAUCGGGUAUUUCAGGACAAAGUGAAGCCCGUCGAGGGUGCCUUGCAGCUGUUUAAAGCCGCUGGGUUUGAGAUGGUCAAACUAGCGCAUCAGGAACAGGAAGAGGACUUCCUGGUUUGGAAUCCGGAAAAAUCUUCGAUCGAGCAAGUCGGUAUACUGGUUGAUGCUCUGAGGACGGCAGAGCCCGUUCGAAUUGAGUUGGACAGAAACUUACAAGUCUUACUGCCCAGUCAGGCAGCGAAAAGAAACGAAUUACCUCCAAUUUUCUUCACCAUAUCGCCGGAGGAGAUUAAGAAGGAGCAUCAGCUCAGGUCUGAAGCGGUAGCAAAGAGUCAAAUUCUCCGUACGAAGGCGAUGCGGGAAAAAGAGGAAUUGCGAGAAAUGAAGAAAUACCGUUACGCCUUGAUACGGGUGCGUUUCCCGGACGGGGUAAUGCUUCAAGGCACCUUCGCGGUUUACGAAAGGGUCGAGAACGUCGUAGAAUUUGUCAGAGAGAAUUUGAUCAGUGACGAGAUACCGUUCGUUUUAACAACGCCGACGGGUCAUCGUCUCGGGAAUGAAGACUAUGAAAAGACCUUGGUUGACAACAGACUGGUCCCCGCAUCAAUACUGAAUUUCAGCUGGGAUACGGAGAUUUUAGAUACCAAGGGACCCACCGAAUAUCUCAAAGAAGAAAUUAUCUGCCUGAUACAGUCCACGUAAGCCUCCUCACCCUAGUCGAGCUAUGAUUUUAUCGUCAUCACCUUCCACUCGACAAUGAAAUGUCCCCCCUAAUAAUGCGAAUAACGGGAUGUUUUGCUGAAUGAUUGCCAGGGGUAAAUGCAACACUAUGGACAUACAGGUAUUGUACACUAUUGAUAGCAAAAUAUUCUCUUUGUAAUUGAAUCCAUACUUGUUAAAAAAGGAAAAAAAAAAAAGACGAUUGGAAUAAAUAUCACGUUUUAUUUUCA
This 1706-nucleotide unclassified non-coding RNA is filed under the name Neodiprion lecontei (redheaded pine sawfly). RNAcentral describes it as "uBX domain-containing protein 6, transcript variant X3". The record is from RNAcentral. Lineage: Eukaryota; Metazoa; Arthropoda; Insecta; Hymenoptera; Diprionidae.